AGUUUAUUCUCUACAUUUAACUACAGCUUGUAUUCAGGGUAACUCUUUGGUGGUGUAAUAUUUCGGUGUUCAUUUAUUGGGUGUCGAGGAGCCUGAUUGAACACUACACCUGAGUUAACAGCUUUGUCACCGCGCUCCUCUCAGCAGUUUUCACUUGGACCUCUCCCUCGAGCCAGACAGUGAUGGCCAAACUUGCUAGCAGCUAGCUGCUGAAGUUUGCCCCGAACCAGUUGGGACUCGUGAGGCAGUUUACCCGGCACGGCUAGGACCGUAACGGACGCGAGAAGGGGACCUGUGAGGGAAUUACGACACGUGGUCAAGAUGUUGUUGAAGGUACAACAUGAAAGGACAAAGAAAUAUGUGAAACUGGAAGAGGUCAGCUUCUCAGACUUUAUCAAUGCAGUGAAGCAGAAGUUUCUCAUACCAGAAGAUAAAGUGCUGAAAGUCGCAGAUGAGCAGGGCAUAGAGGUGGAUGAGGAUGUCUUUCCAGAACUUGCAACAGAAGCAAUGUGUUUCGUCAUCUCUACUGAUGAUGUCGUCCUACUUGCAGAAUCAUCCAAGAACAUAGCUGACUGCUCACUCUCAACAGAGUUUGCAGACUACUCCAACCUGACGGAAUUUGUGACACUCACACCUUGUGGUAGGCAGGCUUAUAGUAAAAGUUUAUUGUGAAAUACAAAAUGGCUCUCUCAUCUAAUGGGGCAAGUUGUGAUUUAAGUAAACUAAGCCUUAGUGUUCUUUGGUGUCAAGAGAUCCUUUGGAAUGAAAACAUGCUUGAUCUUCCUUUGCACCCUACUGUAUAUGGCAGUUUUGUAUUUGUUAAUUUAUGAUUGUAUUUUGUAAUGUAUCAACAUUGUUGACUUAAUGUAAGCUAUAUGGAAU
This is a long non-coding RNA of Alosa alosa (allis shad), 882 nucleotides long. RefSeq lists it as uncharacterized. The transcript has 6 exons. Lineage: Eukaryota; Metazoa; Chordata; Actinopteri; Clupeiformes; Clupeidae. The record is from RefSeq and is a predicted model, not a curated record.